Molecule: ribosomal RNA, 106 nt
Filed under: Heterospilus sp. MAS-2010
Lineage: Eukaryota; Metazoa; Arthropoda; Insecta; Hymenoptera; Braconidae
Description: partial 28S ribosomal RNA
Source: RNAcentral
UCAUCGUCAGCUCAUUUUGUAUAUGUACAANGUUAUGAUGUGAGUUACUCUNUGUAGUAUUGCUUGUACGUACUUGUGCAUUUAUUUGCAAGAUGUUGUCGGCGUG